Physeter macrocephalus (sperm whale) is the source of this 2870-nucleotide RNA transcript. RefSeq lists it as uncharacterized. The transcript is spliced from 6 exons. The record is from RefSeq and is a predicted model, not a curated record. Lineage: Eukaryota; Metazoa; Chordata; Mammalia; Artiodactyla; Physeteridae.
UUCUUUUUCCAAGGUCCUGGAUCAUCUUCACUCUCAUUAUUCUGAAUUCUUUUUCUGGAAGGUUGCGUAUCUCCACUUCAUUUAGUUAUUUUUCUGGGGUUUUAUCUUGUUCCAUCAUCUGGUACAUAGCCCUCUGCCUUUUCAUCUUGUCUCUCUGUGAAUGUGGUUUUUGUUCCACAGGCUGCAGGAUUGUAGUUCUUCUUGCCUCUGCUGUCUUCCCUCUGGUGGAUGCGGCUAUGUAAGAGGCUUAUGGAAGUUUCCUGAUGGGAGGGACUGGUGGUGGGUAGAGCUGGCUGUUGCUUGGUGGGCAGAGCUCAGUAAAACUUUAAUCAGCUUGUCUGCUGAUGGGUGGGGCUGGGUUCCCUCCCUGUUGGUUGUUUGGCCUGAGGCAACCCAACACUGGAGCCUACACAGGCUCUUUGGUGGUGCUAAUGGCGGACUCUGGGAGGGCUCACACCAAGGAGGACUUCCCAGAACUUCUGCUGCCAGUGUCCUUGUACCUGUGGUGAGCCACAGCUGCCCCCCGCCUCUGCAGGAGACCCUCCAACACUAGCAGGUAGGUCUGGUUCAGUCUCCUACGGGAUCACUCCUCCUUCCCCUGGGUCGUGAUGUGCACACUACUUUGUGUGUGCCCUCCAAGAGUGGAGUCUCUGUUUCCCCCAGUCCUCUCAAAGUCCUGCAAUCAAAUCCCGCUAGCCUUCAAAGUCUGAUUCUCUAGGAAUUCCUCCUCCCGUUGCCGGACCCCCAGGUUGGGAAGCCUGACGUGGGGCUCAGAACCUUCACUCCAGUGGGUGGACUUCUGUGGUAUAAGCAUUCUCCAGUUGUGAGUCACCUACCUAGCAGUUAUGGGAUUUGAUUUUAUCGUGAUUGCACCCCUCCUACCGUCUCAUUGUGGCUUCUCCUUUGUCUUUGGAUGUGGGGUAUCUUUUUUGGUGAGUUCCAGUGUCUUCCUGUCGAUGAUUGUUCAGCAGUUAGUUGUGAUUCCAGUGCUCUCACAAGAGGGAGUGAGAGCACGUCCUUCCGCUCUGCCAUCUUGAACCGAUCCUCGAUCUUGGAUUUCUAACCUCCAGAACGCUCUGAUGAACAUACACCAGUAGAGGACAAGAGCCAAAGAAAAGCACCACUUCAGCUUCUACUUCAGAAGAAGAAAAGAAGAAGGAGAAGUCUAGUCAUUCAAAAGAAAGAUCCAAGAAAAGGAGGAAGAAAAAAUCAUGUAAAAGAAAACACAAGAAGUAUUCUGACGAUAGUGACAGUGACUCUGAUUCUGAAACAGACUCCAGUGAUGAAGAUACAAAGGAAAGCAAAAAAAAAGCCCAGCAAAAGAAAAAGAAGAAACACAGAUGAUCAGCCUGGCAGUUUCACAUGAGGAAGACAGCAUGAAGAAAGCCAAGAACUCCACUAAGAGACCACUACGUAAACCCAGGAGAAGCAAGUCACCAGAACUUCAGUGUUUCUUUUCCUCUGAGUUUGCUUUUCCUGCUUGAGAAAGCAGAGGCCUGCGCCUCCCAAGCCCUGGCCAGACCUGACUGUGAGCCCAGCCAGUGGCCUUAGGCUGCCAGCACUGCUUUCCAGACCCCACCACCAGCUCUGCAGCACGUGUCCAUCACUGCCCUUACACACGCUCUCUGCAGCAAAGCUAAUAAUAAGCUCAUCCUGAUUUUUCCUCCUACCAAUACUUCCUUGAUGCAACCUAACAUUUUCUGUGAUCUCAAGUAGUCACCUCUUGAUUCCAUGACCUAGAAAUAAGUCAUCCCUGCUUGAGGAAAUGAAAAAGUACUUCAAAUUAACACAGGUCCAAAUCUACCCUGAAUUGACAGCCACCCCACCAGCACCAAAAAGUUCCACAAAACCCACUUGUUCCUAAUUGUACCACCAAAAGGGAAAAACGUCCUUAGAUGAGAAGUUCCUCAAGAGAAUAUUCAUUUAUGCAUUUGGUAGUUUUUAACAUUGAUUUUGUGUGAUAUCUCCAAGGCAUAUUUUGACAACAUAUUAGAAUUCCCAUUUUCACCCUUUUUGGGUCAGUAGAAUUUUAUCCAUAAUUGUUCUUUUUUGUUUUUGUUUUUUUAGACGACUUUAGGGCUACCACUCCCUACUUUGCUUUACCAAAUGCUGAAAAACAACAGCAGGAGGACUUGAACUUUAAGCUCUCAACCCCAUCCGUCUCAUUGCAACUAAACAGAUGCUAGUUACUCCUAUCGUGUGUUCUCUGGACCAAUUACUCCCUUACACCAGUGCUGAAAUAUUUACAGAAUCAUUCAUUUUACCUCAGAGUUUAUGCUUGGUUUUGAAUAUUUUAAAUAAUUUAGCACUGUUGAACCCUCUUAUAACCCAGCUCCUCAGUGCAUUAAUGUAAAUACUUCCAGGUCAGAUUGAGUCCCAACAUGACUGCAUGGAAGAUAGAAGUAUUGCUUUAAGGAGGGCUAACAUCCUCCCUAAAGGAUACAUGUGUUAGGAGGACUUGAAUUUUAUUGGAAAAAACAUAUCUAUAUAUAUUCAGAUGGAUAGAUACCACAGGUGUAGGAAAAGUGGCUCUGUUCUAUUUUUUCUUAUUUGGGAAUGAUGGGCAGUUUCCAUAAACUGUAAUUUACUGAUCCCAUUUACUACCCCUUAAAGCCCCCAAAGUUCAAAAACUUAUUUUCCAAUCAUGGAAAAGGCAAUAAAAACAAACCAACCUGAGAAUGUCCAUGACAAAGAUGUCCAAGUCCCAAAGCAGGUUUUAGGGUGGCUGCCCUGCCAGGUUUUUUUUCAGGUUUACUCACCUGCACCCUGGCUUCAGUAUCAUCCAUGUGUCUUGCAAGCUCCUUUCUGAGAGAAGAAAAUCACAAAUGUUCAGUAUUCUGAGAUGUGGAUGAAAUUAAAUAUAUGGAUGU